RNAcentral lists this ribosomal RNA (1359 nucleotides) under Micrococcus luteus. Its description in RNAcentral is "bacterial SSU rRNA". It matches the Rfam family "Bacterial small subunit ribosomal RNA", at positions 81 to 1450 of the family's 1533-position model. The record is from RNAcentral. Lineage: Bacteria; Bacillati; Actinomycetota; Actinomycetes; Micrococcales; Micrococcaceae.
UGCUGGGUGGAUUAGUGGCGAACGGGUGAGUAACACGUGAGUAACCUGCCCUUAACUCCGUUGGGAUAAGCCUGGGAAACUGGGUCUAAUACCGGAUAGGAGCGUCCACCGCAUGGUGGGUGUUGGAAAGAUUUAUGUUUUGGAUGGACUCGCGGCCUAUCAGCUUGUUGGUGAGGUAAUGGCUCACCAAGGCGACGACGGGUAGCCGGCCUGAGAGGGUGACCGGCCACACUGGGACUGAGACACGGCCCAGACUCCUACGGGAGGCAGCAGUGGGGCUGAAUAUUGCACAACCGGUGGGCGAAAGCCUGAUGCAGACGCCGCGGAGGGAUGACGGCCUUCGGGUUGUAAACCUCUUUCAGUAGGGAAGAAGCGAAAGUGACGGUACCUGCAGAAGAAGCACCGGCUAACUACGUGCCAGCAGCCGCGGUAAUACGUAGGGUGCGAGCGUAUUAUCCGGAAUUAUGGGCGUAAAGAGCUCGUAGGCGGUUUGUCGCUCUGUCGUGAAAGUCCGGGGCUUAACCCCGGAUCUGCGUGCGUGGGUACGGGCAGACUAGAGUGCAGUAGGGGAGACUGGAAUUCCUGGUGUAGGCGGGAAUGCCGCAGAUAUCAGGAGGAACACCGAUGGCGAAGGCAGGUCUCUGGGCUGUAACUGACGCUGAGGAGCGAAAGCAUGGGGAGCGAACAGGAUUAGAUACCCUGGUAGUCCAUGCCGUAAACGUUGGGCACUAGGUGUGGGGACCAUUCCACGUUUCCGCGCCGCAGCUAACGCAUUAAGUGCCCCGCCUGGGGAGUACGGCGCAAGGCUAAAACUCAAAGGAAUUGACGGGGGCCCGCACAAGCGGCGGAGCAUGCGGAUUAAUUCGAUGCAACGCGAAGAACCUUACCAAGGCUUGACAUGUUCCCGAUCGCCGUAGAGAUACGAUUGUUCCCCUUUGGGGCGGGUUCACAGGUGGUGCAUGGUUGUCGUCAGCUCGUGUCGUGAGAUUGGGUUAAGUCCCGCAACGAGCGCAAUCGUUCCAUGUUGCCAGCACGUAAUGGUGGGGACUCAUGGGAGACUGCCGGGGUCAACUCGAGGAAGGUGAGGACGACGUCAAAUCAUCUGCCCCUUAUGUCUUGGGCUUCACGCAUGCUACAAUGGCCGGUACAAUGGGGAUUGGAUACUGUGAGGUGGAGCUAAUCCCAAAAAGCCGGUCUCAGUUCGGAUUGGGGUCUGCAACUCGACCCCAUGAAGUCGGAGUCGCUAGUAAUCAGAUCAGCAACGCUGCGGUGAAUACGUUCCCGGGCCUUGUACACACCGCCCGUCAUCACGAAAGUCCGGUAACACCCGAAGCCGGUGGCCUAACCCUUGUGGGAGGG